This 253-nucleotide unclassified non-coding RNA is filed under the name uncultured Bacillota bacterium. Its description in RNAcentral is "uncultured Firmicutes bacterium contains 16S-23S intergenic spacer region". It matches the Rfam family "Bacterial small subunit ribosomal RNA", at positions 524 to 776 of the family's 1533-position model. Lineage: Bacteria; Bacillati; Bacillota. The record is from RNAcentral.
CACGUAGGGGGCGAGCGUUGUCCGGAAUUACUGGGCGUAAAGGGUGCGUAGGCGGCUACUUAAGUCCUGUGUGAAAUGCCCCGGCUCAACCGGGGAGGGUCAUGGGAAACUGGGUGGCUUGAGUGCCGGAGAGGGUGGCGGAAUUCCCGGUGUAGCGGUGAAAUGCGUAGAUAUCGGGAAGAACACCAGUGGCGAAGGCGGCCACCUGGACGGCUACUGACGCUGAGGCACGACAGCUGGGGGAGCGAACAGG